CUUUCUGAGGCAUAAGCAGGCACAUGUUGCCUGCAAAGAGGGAAGGGGUGGGUACUUGUGAGGAGCCCAGCACUGCCUUGCUUGGUCUGGACUUCUGCAUUUGGAAGAGUAGGGAGAUCAUUUAAGUCUCUAAGGAGACCCCCAAAUGGAAAGUUGCCCAGGUCUUUCUCAAAUCCAAGAGUUCCCAGACAAGGAGACUGGUGUGCUCCACUUCACAAUGUUGGUAACUUAAGAAACUGGAAUUCACACCUAAAUGUGUCAAGCUCCAGAGCCUAGACAUCUUCUGCUGUUCAAUGUGGCUAAAUGGCAACGAAAAAUCAUCCUGAGCAUGGGAUCCUGUACAAGUCAUCCUGUGCACGACCAUCUUCCCAGUGGGCCUCACUCCACAUGGCACCACAGCUAGGUGCCCCAGCCUGUCACGGGAUAGAGGCUGCACUCUGCCUGAUGCCCAUGUGUUUCCAAAGCAAAGGGGGACUCAGGCCUCUCUCCCUUGACCCCUCUGGGGCACAUCAGGGAGGGGCUGGCAGAUUGCUGAGGACCAUGAAGGGCAGGACGGUGGGCUUUACUGGCCCCAGAGCUUGCCCCAGGCUGUCUUAACAUCCACUGCUCUCUGCAGAAAGGCCAAGAAGUCACUGGAGUGGCUGGGGGGCAGCACAGGGAUGAGUGAGUGUGUGUGUGUGUGUGUGCACGCAUGUAGGUGGUGGGGGCAAGUUGUGAGUGCGCCUGUGAGGGUAUGCAUGAGGAGACUCCACAGAGGUGGCAGGAUGGGUCUGGGAGGGAAAGGAUGGGAGGAGAAACUGAGGCAGCCAGUCUGCUCAGAGAGGCAGUGGUGCUGGCCAGGGGGCUAUACGUGUCUCUCUCCCCAUUCUCUAAUGACCUCUGGACAGUAUCCACUGCAUGUGGGUUUCACUGGACAGAAGGACCCCAUCACCAGCAGCAAAAUCAUAACACCUGCCUUCAUCCCACCACAUUCUUCUUCAUUGACCUCCAAGGGCUCUACAGCUGCACGUGGUGGAUAAAUGCCAGUUCCCCAACUUGGAACCCAAGGAGUCAUGAGUCAGAGCCACCCGAUCCUCAGCUGUAUAAGAGGAUAAUGCUGAAUUCAAGUCAUUGUGGGAAAUUGACUGAAUGAGCAACAUCUAACAAUGCUGAAGAGCAUCAUGGCCUUUCUCCUCCCUUCUUCCCUCUGGCACGGGUAUCUUCCCACCUGGCCUCCAAAGGCUUUGCCCGGUAAGGCUCUCUGCCCUUAUCCCCAUCUCUGAGGCACAACUCUUCUCGCAGUACGGCCACAGAGAUGAGCCCAGGCCACCUGGCUGACCCUUUCCCCCUUUCCCCAUAUGCAGACUUCCUCAACCAGACCCCCAAGCUAACCACAGUGGGCCCACCCUCUCCCCAACACCCUCCCUUCACUCCUGCAACUCUCGCUUGGUACUCUGCUACUGCUUUUGCCAAGUGUUCUCACCUCAGGUGGACAGGCCUCUCUGUGCCACCCUCCUAUGAGCCCAUGAGGAGGGUGGGCCAAAAGUCAGGCUUAAUCUGCCUGCUCCUCCCCAGCCAGCACCACUCUGCAAACUUGGAAGGUCCAUAAGAAGCAGCUGCUCUGCUUCUGCUGCCCAGAAAGGGCAUCCACCUAAAGAACGUGUGCGAUGGAUCGCCUUGCAGGUAACAGGGCUGCUCAGAGGCAGAUGCCCCUGGAGGUGUCUCCCACCUGGGGGAUGACCACCCCGUGGCCCUGUUACAGUGCACGUGCCCAAGCGCCAGCUCCCGCCUACCUUCCUGAUGCCUUCUGAAGGACUGGACACGCAGUUGUCAGCCCCUCCAUUCUUGCUGAUGGUCCGCCAGAGUUCAGCAAACGUGCUGUCCUGCUCCAGGGGGUUGGUGCCCUUGGCUCGGAAGUACUCAUAUACAGCAGAAUCCCGGACGGUGCCAUAAGACAUUUCCACUUGUUUGGACAGGUCCUGGAAAGUCCUGAAAUGCAGAAAGGCAGCGAGGCAUGAGUACAUGCUGUGCAUUGCACACUGCAAAGAUACAAAUGGGCUGCAAGGCCCUUCUGAACUCCAAGCCCGGCAUGGCCCACUAUCCACAUUCUUCAUUCUCCAUCCCCCAAAGUUCAAGUCCCUCAGCCCAGAGUGGGACUUGCAGGGCCUCAUUCAAUUACAGGUGUGUUUUCUCAGUGUAGAUUAAUUCAAUAAGAUGACUGGGCACCUAAAACCAGGUUCUUUACUGAACUGGAGGGAUGAAAGGAUGAGUAAGACAUGAUUCCUGCCUUCAAGGAGCUUAUAGUCCAGCUAUAGAAGCAGACAUAUAGACAGAGAAUCAUAGCAUCAAAGAGUCAGGGCAACAUGGGAGGCUGUAUGCUGCGGAUCUCCAACUCAGACGCCUGCAGAGGCUGGGCAGGAAAGAGGCCUAUGUUGGCAAGAUGAACGAUAAUGAUGGCUGGCCUGUGACACUCAGAGACAGCAUGAGGAAGAAACGCACUCAGAGACCAACUGACUCAGGGUAAAUUAAGAGGCAUCCCCUCUAAAGCUUGCAGCUGUGCUAGGGGUCUAGCCAAUUAUUAACUUCGAAUGUUCCCCUCCCCAUGACCUCCUCAACCAAUUUGGUUUUUGAAAAAAUAAAGAAAAUUGGAUUUUUAAAUC
Molecule: non-coding RNA, 2639 nt
Filed under: Pongo abelii (Sumatran orangutan)
Lineage: Eukaryota; Metazoa; Chordata; Mammalia; Primates; Hominidae
Source: RNAcentral